GCUUGUCUCAAAGAUUAAGCCAUGCAUGUCUAAGUAUAAACAACUUUAUACUGUAAAACUGCGAACGGCUCAUUAUAUCAGCAAUAAUUUAUUUGAUGGUUUCUUACCCCAUGGAUAACUGUGGUAAUUCUAGAGCUAAUACAUGCGUAAAGUCCCGACUCUUUCUGGGGAGGGAUGUAUUUAUUAGAUAAAAAACCAAUGCGGGUUCCCCGGUAUUUGGUGAUUCAUAAUAACUUUCGGAUCGACUUCGGUCGAUGCAUCAUUCAAGUUUCUGCCCUAUCAGCUUUGGAUGGUAGGGUAUUGGCCUACCAUGGCUUUAACGGGUAACGGAGAAUUAGGGUUCGAUUCCGGAGAGGGAGCCUGAGAAAUGGCUACCACAUCCAAGGAAGGCAGCAGG
Molecule: ribosomal RNA, 397 nt
Filed under: Mallomonas annulata
Lineage: Eukaryota; Synurophyceae; Synurales; Mallomonadaceae
Description: partial small subunit ribosomal RNA
Rfam family: Eukaryotic small subunit ribosomal RNA
Source: RNAcentral